RNAcentral lists this transfer RNA (85 nucleotides) under Felis catus (domestic cat). It matches the Rfam family "tRNA". From Rfam's summary of the family: Transfer RNA (tRNA) molecules are approximately 80 nucleotides in length. Their secondary structure includes four short double-helical elements and three loops (D, anti-codon, and T loops). The record is from Rfam by way of RNAcentral. Lineage: Eukaryota; Metazoa; Chordata; Mammalia; Carnivora; Felidae.
GCCUGGGUGACUCAGUUGGUUAAGCGCCUGACUUCAGCUCAGGUCAUGACCUUACGGUUUGUGAGUUCAAGUCCCGCAUCAGGCU